Molecule: non-coding RNA, 240 nt
Organism: Alphaproteobacteria bacterium 41-28
Lineage: Bacteria; Pseudomonadati; Pseudomonadota; Alphaproteobacteria
Source: Rfam
AAAUUCCCGUCCUGGAAAGAGUGAAGCCCGCUCACCAGGAAUCGAGUCUUGGGCUUAUGGAGGUAACCACAUGAGUUAAGCGUAGAUAGAACGACAUUCAGGCCGUAACGCAAGUGAAGCAACUCAGCUCCAUGAAGCGCUAUAGUCCGAGGGCCGACAGGGUCUCUAACCUGGAAGGCUACAACAGGCAACCAAUAGUAGGGCAAUGGGUGCCGGAGACCUCGGCGGGGUCUAUGAGUA